UCCCGCCCUCCCAUUGGCUAAGGCGCCACCGUGACCCCGCCCCAGAGUACUACAGCAGGCGCUCAGGGGGCUGGGCCCGCCUCCGGGAAGGAGCCUUAAAGAACCAGCUGCCCGGUGGUGUCCGCGCCCAGUCCCCCAGAGUGGUCGUGCAGGGAGGUCCUCACAUCUAUGCCCUUGGCUCCCACAUUCCCGGGCCCAACUGCUCACCUCCCAGUUGUCCCUGCCUGACAAGAGGAGGCAGUUCAAUUGAGACUUGAGAUAAACCUGCAAAAGAUGAGGGACCUUAAGGAGCCAGGCAUGCUGAGACAGAAACAUGAACGGAGGGCACAGGAGGCGGGGCCUCCACAAGACCAUGAGUUGGAGGUGGGAGAGACAACUUACCUUAUGCUCCAGACCCCGUGGAUUCUGGAUCCUGUGUAUCCUCAAGACUCUGUCCAAGCCACAGGAGGCUAGUAGAGGCUUUGAAGGGUGGCACUGCAACCCACGCACACUGCCUGCCAGCCCCUUCAGACAGCCCAGUAGACGCCCUAGAGAAGGGGGGAAGCAUCCGUGAUAACUGGCUGGCCAAUAACCAACCAUUCAUUGUUUCCUGUUCCAAUCACUUUCCAUUUCAACAUUUAAUCUGCAACAAAACCCUGAGACUGGA
RNAcentral lists this long non-coding RNA (646 nucleotides) under Homo sapiens (human). RNAcentral's name for it is "HSALNT0363074". Lineage: Eukaryota; Metazoa; Chordata; Mammalia; Primates; Hominidae. The record is from RNAcentral.